GCUGGGCACCAUGGCUUGUGCCUGUAAUCCCUGCUGCUCAGGAGGCUGAGGUGGGAGGAUCACUGCAGUCUAGGAGUUUAAGGCUGCAGUGAGCUGUGAUCAAGCCACUGCACUCUAGUCUGGGUGACAGAGUGAGACCCCAUCUCUU
Molecule: unclassified non-coding RNA, 148 nt
Organism: Macaca fascicularis (crab-eating macaque)
Lineage: Eukaryota; Metazoa; Chordata; Mammalia; Primates; Cercopithecidae
Rfam family: Metazoan signal recognition particle RNA
About the family: The signal recognition particle (SRP) is a universally conserved ribonucleoprotein. It is involved in the co-translational targeting of proteins to membranes.
Source: Ensembl